GGAAACGACUGCUAAUACCCAAUAUGCCGCAAGGUGAAAGAUUUAUCGCCUUGAGAAAAGCUCGCGUCUGAUUAGCUAGUUGGUGGGGUAAAGGCCCACCAAGGCGUCGAUCAGUAGCUGGUCUGAGAGGAUGAGCAGCCACACUGGGACUGAGACACGGCCCAGACUCCUACGGGAGGCAGCAGUGGGGAAUUUUCCGCAAUGGGCGAAAGCCUGACGGAGCAAUACCGCGUGAGGGAGGAAGGCUCUUGGGUUGUAAACCUCUUUUCUCAGGGAAGAAGUUCUGACGGUACCUGAGGAAUAAGCAUCGGCUAACUCCGUGCCAGCAGCCGCGGUAAUACGGAGGAUGCAAGCGUUAUCCGGAAUUAUUGGGCGUAAAGCGUCCGCAGGUGGUUUGUCAAGUCUGCUGUUAAAGACUGGAGCUUAACUCCGGAAAGGCAGUGGAAACUGAAAAACUAGAGUUCGGUAGGGGUAGCGGGAAUUCCCAGUGUAGCGGUGAAAUGCGUAGAGAUUGGGAAGAACAUCGGUGGCGAAAGCGCGCUACUGGACCGAGACUGACACUCAGGGACGAAAGCUAGGGGAGCGAAAGGGAUUAGAUACCC
This 602-nucleotide ribosomal RNA is filed under the name uncultured Chroococcales cyanobacterium. Its description in RNAcentral is "bacterial SSU rRNA". It matches the Rfam family "Bacterial small subunit ribosomal RNA", at positions 152 to 787 of the family's 1533-position model. The record is from RNAcentral. Lineage: Bacteria; Bacillati; Cyanobacteriota; Cyanophyceae; Chroococcales.